Molecule: ribosomal RNA, 473 nt
Filed under: uncultured organism
Description: partial 16S ribosomal RNA
Rfam family: Bacterial small subunit ribosomal RNA
Source: RNAcentral
ACUCCUGCGGGAGGCAGCAGUGGGGAAUUUUGGACAAUGGGCGAAAGCCUGAUCCAGCAAUGCCGCGUGAGUGAAGAAGGCCUUCGGGUUGUAAAGCUCUUUUGUCAGGGAAGAAACGGUGAGAGCUAAUAUCUCUUGCUAAUGACGGUACCUGAAGAAUAAGCACCGGCUAACUACGUGCCAGCAGCCGCGGUAAUACGUAGGGUGCAAGCGUUAAUCGGAAUUACUGGGCGUAAAGCGUGCGCAGGCGGUUUUGUAAGUCUGAUGUGAAAUCCCCGGGCUCAACCUGGGAAUUGCAUUGGAGACUGCAAGGCUAGAAUCUGGCAGAGGGGGGUAGAAUUCCACGUGUAGCAGUGAAAUGCGUAGAUAUGUGGAGGAACACCGAUGGCGAAGGCAGCCCCCUGGGUCAAGAUUGACGCUCAUGCACGAAAGCGUGGGGAGCAAACAGGAUUAGAAACCCUAGUAGUCCCAUG